GAUGAACGCUGGCGGCGUGCCUAAUACAUGCAAGUCGAGCGAACGGACGAGAAGCUUGCUUCUCUGAUGUUAGCGGCGGACGGGUGAGUAACACGUGGAUAACCUACCUAUAAGACUGGGAUAACUUCGGGAAACCGGAGCUAAUACCGGAUAAUAUUUUGAACCGCAUGGUUCAAAAGUGAAAGACGGUCUUGCUGUCACUUAUAGAUGGAUCCGCGCUGCAUUAGCUAGUUGGUAAGGUAACGGCUUACCAAGGCAACGAUGCAUAGCCGACCUGAGAGGGUGAUCGGCCACACUGGAACUGAGACACGGUCCAGACUCCUACGGGAGGCAGCAGUAGGGAAUCUUCCGCAAUGGGCGAAGGCCUGACGGAGCAACGCCGCGUGAGUGAUGAAGGUCUUCGGGUCGUAAAACUCUGUUAUUAGGGAAGAACAUAUGUGUAAGUAACUGUGCACAUCUUGACGGUACCUAAUCAGAAAGCCACGGCUAACUACGUG
Molecule: ribosomal RNA, 497 nt
Filed under: uncultured bacterium
Lineage: Bacteria
Description: partial 16S ribosomal RNA
Rfam family: Bacterial small subunit ribosomal RNA
Source: RNAcentral